CAUGCCAAAAUCGAUUGUUACAACACCUUCUCUUAAUGUUUUGCCUUUUUGACCAGGGGGAAAUAUAGCACUUACUACAUGACACAGGCUGCUCACACGCAGACACAACUGUCACCCAAAACCCACAUUUCUUCUGCACUGAGUCAUUGCAGUUUGCGUUCAUUUACAUUAAAGUUAAGGCUGUAAAUGGGCGGGAAAAAAAAAAAUAUAUAUAUAUAUAUUUCUAUGCGCUACAUGUUUUGUUUUUAUGUUGGCGGUUGGUGGCUUUGAACGUCUGGCUAACAUGAAAUUCUUAAAGGGGACCCUAAUUGGAGUGAGACUUCACCAUUGAGAUGCUCCUGUCGGAUAUCACACAAUCGGCCACCUGCACAUGACACAAAUUAUGUGUCCGUACAAGACGACUUGUCAACGACUGUUUGGGACAUUUGUGAAAACAGGAGGACAGCCAGCCAAACCGACUCCCGUUUCUCACAGAAGAAAGUGAACAUGCUCAGAGUCCCUCAAGGUGCUAACUGAACACGAGUCUUUUCCAGGGCAGCACCUGGAGACUCCGUAUCCAGCGUUUGUGACACGCUGUUGCCCAUGGCUGCCUUCCAGCAGUGCUUCUUCAGGGAUCCGAGCAUGUAGAACAGGAGCUGGAACAACCGCCCGGAAUCUUCAGCCACGCGCCGCUUGAAAGUUUAAUGGUGACACGAGGAACGAGACGUCCAGAUGUGAACAGGGAAUACCUCUGUGAUACGGACAGCAAUCCCACCUCCUGCGAGUGUUGUACGAAACACUCAGGAGCGUUGAAUUACGUGUGCAUGCAUUAGCAGGGGUGUGUGGCAGAACAUAGGGAGCAAUGACUGCUUGAGUUAAUUUCUCUUACUUUUUUUGUAUUGUUUUGCCAGAUGACAAGUUUCAUACCAUCUGCUUCCUUUCCCCUGUUAAUAAGUUUGCCCAGCCAGCUGAGUGCCCACUCAAUUAUUUAGUACGGCAGGGCCGCUGUCAGAUCCACACUUCCAUGUCCAUCUCACCGAGAUGCAGCACAGAAUUGCUCGCAAGAACUUUAAAGGAUGAUUUUCAUACUCUUGGAAGAUUUGAUGUCACAACACAAGCACAAAAAUGAACAUACUGGAAUUCACCAAUGUGAUUUAAACCAAAUGGAUCCAAACCAAAUGGAUCCAAAAUGGUCUUGGUUUACAAAUUACAACGUGGUGGAAAUUUCUUCCAGUGUCAAUGAAAUCGUAAAUUGGGAGGAAAAAUAGUACGUUAAAGAGAUAGAUAAAAUGUACAUGUAAACAACAAAAAAAUAAACAUAUCUUAUGGUCUCUCAUUCUAUUUGUAAAACUUUGUGUAACCAUUGUAUCACGUUAUUUUUAAUAUUUAAGAGAUGUCAUAACAACAAUGCAUGUAUAUUUAGAAAUAUGAUCAUAAGCAAAAAAUAAAACACCAACAAAAUCCCCCAUUCCCCAUUUAACUGUUCAGUAGUACUUACUGAUUGUCUUCAUCCACUUUACCUGUCAUAUCUUAGAUGAGCUGCAAAGACAGUUACAUUUUAGAAUUCAUCAACAAGUUUAACAACAUUAUAAACAUGCUUUUAUACAGUAGUUGCAUGAAAAUACGAAUAUGUAAGAAUGGGUCAUUCUAUGGAAAUGUCUAUUUUGUCUCUAGCCUUUACAGAAAUAUUACACUUGAAAGCACUUUAGGGUUGCAAUUUCUUUAUGUUUUAAAAUGAAACGAUAUGUUAUUUGAACAAAUUACACCUUCUUGAGCUAUCAAUUUGUUUUUUAAUUCAUUAUUUUUAAUUCCAAGCAUCACAAAACUGCUUGUCCCUGCAGCGAUGCACAGAGGGAAAGUGCUUUAUUUUGAGGUUUUUCUACCAUUUAAAAUACAAUAAUGUAUUCAUAACUAUCAAAUAUAUGACGUAAAUGGUAUAAAACAUAAAAUGAAUAAAUAUACAAUAUAAAAUAAAAGUAGUGGCUGGAAUUGUGUCACUGGUGUUACUGUUUAACAAAAUCAUUUAUUUUGAAAUAAAACUCUCACUGAUGACA
Labeo rohita (rohu) is the source of this 2033-nucleotide long non-coding RNA. RefSeq lists it as uncharacterized. The record is from RefSeq and is a predicted model, not a curated record. Lineage: Eukaryota; Metazoa; Chordata; Actinopteri; Cypriniformes; Cyprinidae. The transcript is spliced from 2 exons.